Molecule: ribosomal RNA, 437 nt
Filed under: uncultured bacterium
Lineage: Bacteria
Description: bacterial SSU rRNA
Rfam family: Bacterial small subunit ribosomal RNA
Source: RNAcentral
GAUGAACGCUAGCGGCAGGCUUAACACAUGCAAGUCGAGGGGUAUUGGUUUUCGGACCAAGAGACCGGCGCACGGGUGCGUAACGCGUAUGCAAUCUACCUUUUGCAGAGGGAUAGCCCAGAGAAAUUUGGAUUAAUACCUCAUAGUAUAGUACUUUGGCAUCAAGGAACUAUUAAAGUCACAACGGCAAAAGAUGAGCAUGCGUCCCAUUAGCUAGUUGGUAAGGUAACGGCUUACCAAGGCUACGAUGGGUAGGGUCCUGAGAGGGAGAUCCCCCANACUGGUACUGAGACACGGACCAGACUCCUACGGGAGGCAGCAGUGAGGAAUAUUGGACAAUGGGCGCAAGCCUGAUCCAGCCAUGCCGCGUGCAGGAUGACGGUCCUAUGGAUUGUAAACUGGCUUUUAUACAGGAGAAACACUCCGACGUGUCGGAG